Mercurialis annua (annual mercury) is the source of this 444-nucleotide long non-coding RNA. RefSeq lists it as uncharacterized. The record is from RefSeq and is a predicted model, not a curated record. The transcript has 2 exons. Lineage: Eukaryota; Viridiplantae; Streptophyta; Magnoliopsida; Malpighiales; Euphorbiaceae.
UCUCACUGGUUGGGCUUUCUCCACUACCUCAACAAAUACAAGCCCAAAACUAUUCAGUCACAAAAGUAAAGCCCAAUACGAAUUAUUAGGGUUUCACAACCAUAUAAAUACAAACAAACCCUACUCUAAAUCCUUCGCUUCCAUUAUCAUCUCACUCAGCCCCCUCUCAGUCUCCAAACCAUAAGGAUUUCUCCAGAGCUUUGAGUAACUCGUCAGCAUGAGAGCCAAGUGGAAGAAGAAGCGUAUGAGGAGAUUGAAGAGGAAGAGACGAAAGAUGAGACAGAGAUCUAAGUAGAUUUUUGAUUUCGAAACUGUGUCGUUUUAGUUUGUGUUUUUCCCUAAAAUUCUGUUGAAUUAUCAGUACUAUUUUAAUUUCUUAAUUAACUACAGUUUUGCCGGACCAUUUUUAUUUAAUGGAAGUGAAUGGCUUAUUUCUUUUUGAAA